This 443-nucleotide RNase P RNA is filed under the name Corynebacterium auriscanis. RNAcentral describes it as "RNase P RNA component class A". It matches the Rfam family "Bacterial RNase P class A". Rfam says of the family: Ribonuclease P (RNase P) is a ubiquitous endoribonuclease, found in archaea, bacteria and eukarya as well as chloroplasts and mitochondria. Its best characterised activity is the generation of mature 5'-ends of tRNAs by cleaving the 5'-leader elements of precursor-tRNAs. The record is from RNAcentral. Lineage: Bacteria; Bacillati; Actinomycetota; Actinomycetes; Mycobacteriales; Corynebacteriaceae. RNAcentral also lists the same sequence under 1 other name.
CGAGACAGCCGGGUGAUCGCGGCGCGUGGAACCAGCCGUUUAGUGCGGAAAGGCCAGGCGCGGAGGAAAGUCCGGACUCCAUAGGGCGCGGUGGUUGCUAACGGCAACCCGGGGUGACCCGCGGGCUAGUGCCACAGAAAACAAACCGCCUGGCGCCUUCGGGCGUGCGGGUAAGGGUGAAAAGGUGCGGUAAGAGCGCACCAGCACCUCAGGUGACUGGGGUGGCUUGGUAAACCCCACCGGGAGCAAGGUCAAGUGUUUGCACUGCAGUCUUCGGGUUGAUAGUGCGAGCGAGUUCGAGGGCGGCCCGCCCGUGUGAUGAAUAGGUAGACCGCUUGAGGCCACCAGCGAUGGUCGGCACAGAUGGAUGAUCGCCUCGUCCACGUCUUCCCCUCGGGGAGGGGGUGGAUAGACAGAAUCCGGCUCAUAGGCUGUCUCGACCU